This 281-nucleotide ribosomal RNA is filed under the name uncultured bacterium. RNAcentral describes it as "partial 16S ribosomal RNA". It matches the Rfam family "Bacterial small subunit ribosomal RNA", at positions 524 to 794 of the family's 1533-position model. The record is from RNAcentral.
UACGAAGGGUGGCAAGCGUUAAUCGGAAUUACUGGGCGUAAAGCGCGCGUAGGUGGUUUGAUAAGUUGGAUGUGAAAGCCCCCGGGACUCCGAACCUGGGAAACGUUGCAUCCUAAAACUGUCUGACUAGAGUAUGGCAGAGGGUAGGUGGAAUUUCCUGUGUAGCGGUGAAAUGCGUAGAUAUAGGAAGGAACACCAGUGGCGAAGGCGACCGCCUGGGCUAAUACUGACACUGAGGUGCGAAAGCGUGGGGAGCAAACAGGAUUAGAUACCCCGGUAGU